GCUCCAGUAGCUCAGGUGGAUAGAGCGCAGGAUUCCUAAUCCUGGUGCCGCAGGUUCGAAUCCUGCCUGGAGCA
This 74-nucleotide transfer RNA is filed under the name Desulfobulbus propionicus DSM 2032. It matches the Rfam family "tRNA". From Rfam's summary of the family: Transfer RNA (tRNA) molecules are approximately 80 nucleotides in length. Their secondary structure includes four short double-helical elements and three loops (D, anti-codon, and T loops). Further hydrogen bonds mediate the characteristic L-shaped molecular structure. tRNAs have two regions of fundamental functional importance: the anti-codon, which is responsible for specific mRNA codon recognition, and the 3' end, to which the tRNAs corresponding amino acid is attached (by aminoacyl-tRNA synthetases). tRNAs cope with the degeneracy of the genetic code in two manners: having more than one tRNA (with a specific anti-codon) for a particular amino acid; and 'wobble' base-pairing, i.e. permitting non-standard base-pairing at the 3rd anti-codon position. Lineage: Bacteria; Pseudomonadati; Thermodesulfobacteriota; Desulfobulbia; Desulfobulbales; Desulfobulbaceae. The record is from Rfam by way of RNAcentral.